This 487-nucleotide ribosomal RNA is filed under the name Fusarium chlamydosporum. RNAcentral's name for it is "eukaryotic LSU rRNA". The stretch from base 120 to 273 matches the Rfam family "5.8S ribosomal RNA". The record is from RNAcentral. Lineage: Eukaryota; Fungi; Ascomycota; Sordariomycetes; Hypocreales; Nectriaceae.
CAUACCUAUACGUUGCCUCGGCGGAUCAGCCCGCGCCCCGUAAAAAGGGACGGCCCGCCCGAGGACCCCUAAACUCUGUUUUUAGUGGAACUUCUGAGUAAAACAAACAAAUAAAUCAAAACUUUCAACAACGGAUCUCUUGGUUCUGGCAUCGAUGAAGAACGCAGCAAAAUGCGAUAAGUAAUGUGAAUUGCAGAAUUCAGUGAAUCAUCGAAUCUUUGAACGCACAUUGCGCCCGCCAGUAUUCUGGCGGGCAUGCCUGUUCGAGCGUCAUUUCAACCCUCAAGCUCAGCUUGGUGUUGGGACUCGCGGUAACCCGCGUUCCCCAAAUCGAUUGGCGGUCACGUCGAGCUUCCAUAGCGUAGUAAUCAUACACCUCGUUACUGGUAAUCGUCGCGGCCACGCCGUAAAACCCCAACUUCUGAAUGUUGACCUCGGAUCAGGUAGGAAUACCCGCUGAACUUAAGCAUAUCAAUAAGCGGAGGAA